GAUGAACGCUGGCGGCGUGCCUAAUACAUGCAAGUCGAGCGGAAACACGAUGAGCUUUCUCCCUUAACGUUAGCGGCGGGCGGGUGAGUAACACGUACAUCACCUUCUUCUAUGUCUGGGGGAACUUCGUGGAACCGGUGACAAUAACAGCUCAUAUGUUCAACCGCAUGGUGCAGUAGUGCUAGGCAGCUUUCCUGUCUCUUUUAGAUGAUUCCGCGUCGCAUUAGCUAGUUGGUAAGGUAACGGCUUACCAAGGCGACGAUGCGUAGCCGAUCUGAGAGGGUGAUCGGCCACACUGGAACUGAGACACGGUCCAGACUCCUACGGGAGGCAGCAGUGGGGAAUAUUGCGCAAUGGGCGAAAGCCUGACGGAGCAACGCCGCGUGGGUGAAGAAGGCCUUCGGAUCGUAAAGCUCUUUUAUUGGGGAAGAACAGAUGUGUAAGAAUACCUGGACGUCUUGACGGUACCUAAACAGAAAGCAACGGCUAACUACGUG
This 497-nucleotide ribosomal RNA is filed under the name uncultured bacterium. RNAcentral describes it as "partial 16S ribosomal RNA". It matches the Rfam family "Bacterial small subunit ribosomal RNA", at positions 28 to 507 of the family's 1533-position model. The record is from RNAcentral.